UGAGGAAUAUUGGUCAAUGGGCGAGAGCCUGAACCAGCCACGUCGCGUGAAGGAAGACUGACCUUACGGUUUGUAAACUUCUUUUGUAGAGGGGUAAUGGCAGAUACGUGUAUUUGCGUGAAAGUACUCUACGAAUAAGCAUCGGCUAACUACGUGCCAGCAGCCGCGGUAAUACGUAGGGCGCGAGCGUUGUCCGGAAUUAUUGGGCGUAAAGGGCUUGUAGGCGGUUGGCCGCGUCUGCCGUGAAAUCCUCUGGCUUAACUGGGGGAGUGCGGUGGGUACGGGUUGACUUGAGUGCGGUAGGGGAGACUGGAAUUCCUGGUGUAGCGGUGGAAUGCGCAGAUAUCAGGAGGAACACCGGUGGCGAAGGCGGGUCUCUGGGCCGUUACUGACGCUGAGGAGCGAAAGCGUGGGGAGCGAACAGG
RNAcentral lists this ribosomal RNA (425 nucleotides) under Verrucomicrobiota bacterium. Its description in RNAcentral is "Verrucomicrobia bacterium partial 16S ribosomal RNA". It matches the Rfam family "Bacterial small subunit ribosomal RNA", at positions 355 to 776 of the family's 1533-position model. Lineage: Bacteria; Pseudomonadati; Verrucomicrobiota. The record is from RNAcentral.